GAUCAUGGCUCAGGAUGAGCGCUAGCGGCAGGCUUAACACAUGCAAGCCGAGGGGCAGCAUAAUGGUAGUAAUACUAUUGAUGGCGACCGGCGGACGGGUGCGUAACGCGUAUGCAACCUACCCUUUACAGGGGGAUAACACUGAGAAAUCGGUACUAAUACCCCAUAAUAUUCUGGGAGGCAUCUUUCGGAGUUGAAAGCUUUGGUGGUAAAGGAUGGGCAUGCGUUGUAUUAGCUAGUUGG
RNAcentral lists this ribosomal RNA (243 nucleotides) under uncultured bacterium. RNAcentral describes it as "partial 16S ribosomal RNA". It matches the Rfam family "Bacterial small subunit ribosomal RNA", at positions 15 to 252 of the family's 1533-position model. The record is from RNAcentral.